UUAUAUCAGUAAGAGCCCUGAGAGAUGAUCAGGUAGAUAGGUUAGAAGUGGAAGUGUGGCGACACAUGUAGCGGACUAAUACUAAUAGCUCGAGGACUUAUCCAA
RNAcentral lists this ribosomal RNA (105 nucleotides) under Streptococcus mitis. Its description in RNAcentral is "partial 23S ribosomal RNA". It matches the Rfam family "Bacterial large subunit ribosomal RNA", at positions 2820 to 2925 of the family's 2925-position model. The record is from RNAcentral. Lineage: Bacteria; Bacillati; Bacillota; Bacilli; Lactobacillales; Streptococcaceae.